GAUGAACGCUGGCGGUAUGCUUAACACAUGCAAGUCGAACGGUACCUUCGGGUAUAGUGGCGGACGGGUGAGUAACGCGUGAGAAUCUAUCUUCAGGUCGGCGACAACAGUUAGAAAUAACUCCUAAUACCGGUUGUGCCGAUAGGUAAAAGAUUUAUUGCCUGAAAAAGAGCUCGCGUCAGAUUAGCUAGUAGGUGGUGUAAGAGACUACCUAGGCUUCUAUUUGUAGCUGGUCUGAGAGGACGAUCAGCCACACUGGAACUGAGACACGGUCCAGACUCCUACGGGAGGGAGCAGUGGGGAAUUUUCCGGAAUGGGCGAAAGCCUGACGGAGCAAUGCCGCGUGAGGGACGAAGGCUGUUGGGUCGUAAACCUCUUUUCUCAAGGAAGAUUCAGACGGUACUUGAGGAAGAAGCACCGGCUAACUCUGUG
Molecule: ribosomal RNA, 432 nt
Filed under: uncultured bacterium
Lineage: Bacteria
Description: partial 16S ribosomal RNA
Rfam family: Bacterial small subunit ribosomal RNA
Source: RNAcentral